Long non-coding RNA from Vicugna pacos (alpaca), 731 nucleotides. RefSeq lists it as uncharacterized. The record is from RefSeq and is a predicted model, not a curated record. Lineage: Eukaryota; Metazoa; Chordata; Mammalia; Artiodactyla; Camelidae.
UGGGAGAGUUUUAAGGAGAGCAGUGAAAUCAUCCAAUUAAUGUUUGAACAGGGUUGCUCAGGCUGACAAUUUGGUAACAGACCACAGGGGUCAGAGUGGCAGCAGGGAAACCAACUAAAAGCCAGUGUAAUAGACAUGGAGGUGGCCUGGAUCCGGUGGUAGAAAGGAGGUGGUGAGAAGAGGCUGGAUUCAGGAUACGGUUUUAUAGAAGGAGCUGACAGAAUUUGAUGAUGGAGUCCAUGAGAACUGUGGAAACAAGAGAGGAGUUGCAGAAUUGGCCUGAGCCAAAGGAUAAAGUCGCCAUUUAUGCUCCCCGGUGUUGGAUCUGUGUACAGAACCUGGGCCUGAGCAGCUGCACUGUGACCAGUUCAGGGGUGGCCCUCGUGCCGAAGAAGGGAGGUCUUUAAUGACAUCACUGAGCCACUGAACUCAACCCAGGAGCCUCCCUACCUCCUGAUGUCUUAGAAGAUUCAUAAAAACGUGAGUCCUAGAGCUGCGGUGGUGGGCAAAGCUGGGGAAGGAGCCGCAGGAGAGAAAAGAAACGUGGCCAGAGGUGCCAAGGCGUCUGGGGCUUCGUCUUUCUGGGUACCCUGUGUUUGGGGGGGUUGGGGUGCAGAGCCAACUAGUCCCAAAGGGCUGCAUCAUGACCUUCUAGGGUCCUGGGCACACUCUCCUUAGGGGAGGAGGGGGCAGGGCUUCCUGUAUAAAAAUAUUACAAAUUACAUUUUAUG